AAGAAAAGAGAAAAAACAAGAGAGAGAAAAAGUGAGAGGUGCAAAGAUAGGACCCCUAGACGACCAAAAUAGUGUAGCCAAAGAAUGGGUAAAAGAAAGAAAAGAAAAAAAAACGAA
Long non-coding RNA from Amblyraja radiata (thorny skate), 117 nucleotides. RefSeq lists it as uncharacterized. The transcript is spliced from 2 exons. Lineage: Eukaryota; Metazoa; Chordata; Chondrichthyes; Rajiformes; Rajidae. The record is from RefSeq and is a predicted model, not a curated record.